CGCCCUUAGAGUUUGAUCCUGGCUCAGGACGAACGCUGGCGGCGUGCCUAAUACAUGCAAAUUGAGCGUUGGUACUUGUACCAAGAGCAGCGAACGGGUGAGUAACGCGUGGGGAAUCUGCCUUUGAGCGGGGGACAACAUUUGGAAACGAAUGCUAAUACCGCAUAAAAACUUAACACAAGUUUAAGUUGAAAGAUGAUUGCAUCACUCAAAGAUGAUCCCGCGUUGUAUUAGCUAGUUGGUGAGGUAAAGGCUCACCAAGGCGAUGAUACAUAGCCGACCUGAGAGGGUGAUCGGCCACAUUGGGACUGAGACACGGCCCAAACUCCUACGGGAGGCAGCAGUAGGGAAUCUUCGGCAAUGGACGAAAGUCUGACCGAGCAACGCCGCGUGAGUGAAGAAGGUUUUCGGAUCGUAAAACUCUGUUGGUAGAGAAGAACGUUGGUGAGGAAACUCAUCAAGUGACGGUAACUACCCAGAAAGGGACGGCUAACUACGUGCCAGCAGCCGCGGUAAUACGUAGGUCCCGAGCGUUGUCCGGAUUUAUUGGGCGUAAAGCGAGCGCAGUGGUUUAUUAAGUCUGGUGUAAAAGGCAGUGGCUCACCAUUGUAUGCAUUGGAAACUGGUAGACU
This 632-nucleotide ribosomal RNA is filed under the name uncultured Lactococcus sp. RNAcentral describes it as "bacterial SSU rRNA". It matches the Rfam family "Bacterial small subunit ribosomal RNA", at positions 1 to 642 of the family's 1533-position model. Lineage: Bacteria; Bacillati; Bacillota; Bacilli; Lactobacillales; Streptococcaceae. The record is from RNAcentral.